CAUUUAUUGUGCAAGGUGCUUGUAAAAGGAAGUGAGGUUUUCCAGUACAUUACUUCCUCAUGUAUCAUGUGUGUACGGAUGCAUUUGUGUAGACCCAGAUAGUAGUGAAGGCCACUCCAGACUGAAGGAAGAUGUCCGAAAAUUCAUCAGAAUUCACCGAUGCCACGAGGAAUUCUGGCUCGUCUCGCCCAUCCUCUGAUAUCAGCGGCACCAAUGUUCCUCUGGUUUUGAUCAGUGCUUACGAGGAACAACUGAAGAGAAAUAAAUUAGGAAAGCCUUUACCCAAGCUCCCUUCUGCCAGAUUUUGCUACACAAACUGGCAUGAGUUGCCACACACUGAUCUCCAUGGCAACCAGCUGCAUGCUCCGAGGGUCA
Long non-coding RNA from Lingula anatina, 375 nucleotides. The record is from RefSeq and is a predicted model, not a curated record. NCBI's taxonomy places the organism in Eukaryota, Metazoa, Brachiopoda, Lingulata, Lingulida, Lingulidae.